CACACGCUCUUGGCAGGGAGGGGGAGAGAAGCUGACCUGGGUGGUAACUGGGCUUCCCAGGGAAGGAGGGCAAGGAGCAAUUAAUGAUAUUUCUGUCUCAUGGUGAAGAAAACAUGGACUAGAAAGCCACCCAGUGGGCAUGGAAUGGAUCAGGCAGCCUAAUGAAACCAGCAGUUAAUGACCUAAGGAGAAGAACUAAAACCAGCCCACUGCUCCACGGAGGCACUUAAUUUUUUCACGGGCCAUCCUACGCCGAGUGUUUUCUCGAAGAGUUUGGUGCUGGUUGAUGCACAGGACUGGCUGCAGGACCAAGGACCACCACAAGCCGAGGAUCAGCUCCUAUUGGGAGGUAUCAGCGUGGUGACGGCGAUGGCCUUGCUCAGACCCAAUGCACCGAGGAUGACUUCUAACACUGAUUAUGGCCUUUUUGCUGCCAAAUGAACCAGAAAAUCCCUCCCAGGGGCAGAGUUGUGCCACAGCCUCCCUUCUCCAAGGACAUGGGAUGUUAACAGAAACGUGGUGUGACCGGCAGAGCUCAGCACUGAGAUGGAAGGACUUGGUGAUGUCUUCAGAUGCACAAGGUCUUUAGCUGCUGUCACAGUGGAUUUUGGGAGGUGGGGAAGCCCCUGUGUGUCACCCUGACGCUCAGGGCUGGCUGUCCUGCAGGGCAUAGUGUCCCCAUGGCAGAGGCUCCACUGCAGAACAUUGCUUUGCUCAUGGGCAUUGCAGCAACGCACCCUGGGGCUCUGCCCUGUUCAGGGUCGUAGCGAAUAAAAAAAUGAAGCAGCCAAUGUGCAUCUUAACCAGGGAGAGCUGUGGAGGCAGGGGAGAAGGAAGGGCACAAUCAGUCCAAAAGAUGCUUUGAAAGGGAGAAAAACUUGCUGCCAGGCUUCCUUUGGAGAGCAGUUCCUCUCUUCCUUUUUCUCCCUUUCUCUUUCGGUGCUGUGCUGUUCCUCCAUGGCCAGAAGGCUGCAGGCAUUUCAGAUCUCUUCUUCAGGUCCUUGUUUCAUUAAAGAAAAAGAAAAAAAAAAAGGCCUGCAGAAUGUUUUCUUCUAAAGCUCAGCAAAUGGGAAGUGCACAAUGCAGCUGUCUCUAAGCCUCUCUUCUCCUGUCUCAGGGAGAAAGGAAU
Molecule: long non-coding RNA, 1129 nt
Organism: Numida meleagris (helmeted guineafowl)
Lineage: Eukaryota; Metazoa; Chordata; Aves; Galliformes; Numididae
Exons: 4
Source: RefSeq, a predicted model, not a curated record